Long non-coding RNA from Rhincodon typus (whale shark), 805 nucleotides. RefSeq lists it as uncharacterized. The record is from RefSeq and is a predicted model, not a curated record. Lineage: Eukaryota; Metazoa; Chordata; Chondrichthyes; Orectolobiformes; Rhincodontidae. The transcript has 3 exons.
AGGGUAGGGCGCAGCUUAAACAUCGCGAGAGACACACACCGACACAAAAAGGCUGUUGAUGGUUUCAGUAUUAAAUACGUUCUUCCCCAGUCUCUACCAAAUGCAGAGGAGGCUAUGUGUGCGAAAGGCUGCGGACGCUGGCAAUGUGAGACAGGGCAGGAAGAGAGUUUAGUGUGUUUUUUUUAAGGGUAAAGGAAGAGAAAUGAGUCAAUUGCUUAAAGGAUCAUGUGUUAAACCUUCUUUCGAAAUACUCUAUUUACGUGGGAUUGUAUUUCAAGAUUUCCAGCAUCUGCAGUUCUUUGUUCAUUAUCAUAGACUUUGAUGGAAUGCAUAUAACAUUGACACAGUUCAAUUCGAAGCUCUCUGCUAAGGUGUCUCACAUGGGCAAGUAUUUGGUUCUCACUGCUGUUUGAUUCUCAGAAAAGAGACUGUUGUUAGCUCUGAUGUCUGUCACCUGAUUAAAUAUUCCUGGGGAAGCAAUCAUUUCCUUCAGCCUCCAUGGAAUAAAUGAGACAUUUGUGGUGACAAUGUAUAGAAGACUUAAUAAUUACAAGAUUUCAAACCAGUCCAGACACCAGAUACAGAUGAAUCAAGGACCAGCAGAAUGAAGAUAAAACAUAUUUUUAUAUAUCUGGAAUUACAGCAGAAGACAAAGUCGGGACAGCAAAGCAACAGAGCACAGAUGCGCCACGAAAUGAUCCCCGAGUCUGCAUUUGGGCUCACAGAUGUAGAGGAGGCCACAUCGGGAGCAAUGGAUACAGUAAACCAGGUUGGAGGAUGUACAAGUGAACCCCUGUCAGAUAUG